UACGGGGAGAGCAGCAGUGAGGGAAUUUUGGACAAUGAGGAAGCCUGAUCCAGCCAUCCCGCGUGUGCGAUGAAGGCCUUCGGGUUGUAAAGCACUUUGCUUUGAAAGAAAACGGCGCAGGAUAUGCCCGUGCAGCAAACUGAUACCUGCAGAAUAGCACCGGCUAACUACGUGCCGCAGCAGCCGCAGUAAUACGGCAAGUGCAAGCGUUAAUCAGGUUACUGGGCAUCAUUACGCAGCAGGCGGUUCGGAAAGAAGAUGUGAAAAUCCCAGAGCUUAACUUUGGGGCACGGUACGCUGGCGUGAAGUGUAUCAAGGAGGGGUGGAAUUCGCGUGCAGCAGUGAAAUGCGUAGAUAUGCGGAGGAACACCGAUGGCGAAGGCAGCCUCCCUGGGAUAACACAUGCUCGCUGAAAGCGUGAGGGGAGCAAACAGGAUUAGAUACCCCGUAGU
Molecule: unclassified non-coding RNA, 452 nt
Filed under: uncultured Bordetella sp.
Lineage: Bacteria; Pseudomonadati; Pseudomonadota; Betaproteobacteria; Burkholderiales; Alcaligenaceae
Description: partial 16S-23S ribosomal RNA intergenic spacer
Rfam family: Bacterial small subunit ribosomal RNA
Source: RNAcentral